AUACGGAGGAUGCGAGCGUUAUCCGGAUUUAUUGGGUUUAAAGGGUGCGUAGGCUGUGCGUUAAGUCAGGGGUGAAAUGCCGUCGCUCAACGACGAAGUUGCCCUUGAUACUGGCGUGCUGGAGUACGGAUGCCGUUGGAGGAAUGAGUGGUGUAGCGGUGAAAUGCUUAGAUAUCACUCAGAACACCGAUUGCGAAGGCAUCUGACGAAUCCGUCACUGACGCUGAGGCACGAAAGCGUGGGGAUAGAACAGGAUUAGAUACCCUGGUAUUCCACGCCGUAAACGAUGAUGACUAACCGUCGGCGAUAGACAGCCGGUGGCCAAGCGAAAGCGAUAAGUCAUCCACCUGGGGAGUACGUCGGCAACGAUGAAACUCAAAUGAAUUGGCGGGG
Molecule: ribosomal RNA, 393 nt
Filed under: uncultured bacterium
Lineage: Bacteria
Description: partial 16S ribosomal RNA
Rfam family: Bacterial small subunit ribosomal RNA
Source: RNAcentral